UACGGGGGGGGCAAGCGUUGUUCGGAAUUACUGGGCGUAAAGGGCUCGUAGGUGGCCAACUAAGUCAGACGUGAAAUCCCUCGGCUUAACCGGGGAACUGCGUCUGAUACUGGAUGGCUAGAGAUUGGGAGAGGGAUGCGGAAUUCCAGGUGUAGCGGUGAAAUGCGUAGAUAUCUGGAGGAACACCGGUGGCGAAGGCGGGUCUCUGGGCCGAUACUGACGCUGAGGAGCGAAAGCGUGGGGAGCAAACAGG
This 253-nucleotide ribosomal RNA is filed under the name uncultured bacterium. RNAcentral's name for it is "partial 16S ribosomal RNA". It matches the Rfam family "Bacterial small subunit ribosomal RNA", at positions 524 to 776 of the family's 1533-position model. The record is from RNAcentral.